Molecule: ribosomal RNA, 498 nt
Filed under: uncultured bacterium
Lineage: Bacteria
Description: partial 16S ribosomal RNA
Rfam family: Bacterial small subunit ribosomal RNA
Source: RNAcentral
AUUGAACGCUGGCGGAAUGCUUUACACAUACAAGUCGAGCGGCAGCGCGGGGCAACCUGGCGGCGAGCGGCGAACGGGUGAGUAAUACAUCGGAACGUGCCCAGACGUGGGGGAUAACUACUCGAAAGAGUAGCUAAUACCGCAUAUGAUCUAAGGAUGAAAGCGGGGGAUCGCAAGACCUCGCGCGUUUGGAGCGGCCGAUGGCAGAUUAGGUAGUUGGUGGGGUAAAGGCUAACCAAGCCUGCGAUCUGUAGCUGGUCUGAGAGGACGACCAGCCACACUGGGACUGAGACACGGCCCAGACUCCUACGGGAGGCAGCAGUGGGGAAUUUUGGACAAUGGGCGAAAGCCUGAUCCAGCCAUUCCGCGUGCAGGAUGAAGGCCCUCGGGUUGUAAACUGCUUUUGUACAGAACGAAAAAGCUCUGGUUAAUACCUGGAGUCCAUGACGGUACUGUAAGAAUAAGCACCGGCUAACUACGUGCCAGCCGCCGCAGUAA